Molecule: ribosomal RNA, 494 nt
Filed under: uncultured bacterium
Lineage: Bacteria
Description: partial 16S ribosomal RNA
Rfam family: Bacterial small subunit ribosomal RNA
Source: RNAcentral
GACGAACGCUGGCGGCGCGCUUAACACAUGCAAGUCGAACGGAAAGGCCUGCUUUCCCUUGUGGAUUGCGGGUACUCGAGUGGCGAACGGGUGAGUAACACGUGAGUGAUCUGCCCCCAACUUGGGUAUAAGCCUGGGAAACUGGGUCUAAUUCCCGAUAGGACUGCAGGGUGGUGCCUGUGGUGGAAAACGAUUUUCUAGUGGGUGGGGAUGAGCUCGCGGCCUAUCAGCUUGUUGGUGGGGUAAUGGCCUACCAAGGCGGCGACGGGUAGCCGGCCUGAGAGGGUGGACGGCCACAUUGGGACUGGGAUACGGCCCAGACUGCUACGGGAGGCAGCAGUGGGGAAUAUUGCACAAUGGGCGGAAGCCUGAUGCAGCGACGCCGCGUGGGGGAUGACGGCCUUCGGGUUGUAAACUCCUUUCGACCGCGAGGAAGCCACCUGGUUGGAAGGGUGGUGACGGUAGUGGUAGAAGAAGCACCGGCUAACUACGUG